This 326-nucleotide ribosomal RNA is filed under the name uncultured eukaryote. RNAcentral describes it as "partial 18S ribosomal RNA". It matches the Rfam family "Eukaryotic small subunit ribosomal RNA", at positions 1470 to 1796 of the family's 1831-position model. The record is from RNAcentral.
CCCUUAGAUGUUCUGGGCCGCACGCGCGCUACACUGAAGGGAUCAGCGUGUUUUCCCUUCCCGAGAGGGACGGGUAACCCGCUGAACCCCCUUCGUGGUAGGGAUCGGAGCUUGCAAUUGUUCUCCGUGAACCAGGAAUUCCCAGUAAGCGCAAGCCAUAAGCUUGCGUUGAUUACGUCCCUGCCCUUUGUACACACCGCCCGUCGCUACUACCGAUUGAACGUUUUAGUGAGGUAUUUGGACUGGGCCUUGGGAGGUUUCGGCCUCCCUUGUUGCUCGGAAAGACUCCCAAACUUGAGCGUUUAGAGGAAGUAAAAGUCGUAACA